CUUGCUUCCAGGAUAUUUUUAGAGAGAGAGCGCAGGUCUCUCUCUGGGCACGAUCUGCCUUACUGACAAGCUGAGGUUUCAUAGCAGCUCAUCCAAGUGUGCAGAUCACCUGCAAGCCCAGGGAGAGAUGCAGACUGUCUUCGAGCACUUUUCAAGCACUCCUGGAGCCACAGCUGAUUAGUUUCAGUGAGGGUGGUACCCUGAAUCUAAAGAGGCUGUUGAAAUACUUCCUUGUGAAGUCUCAAGAUCUCCAACGCUCUCCAACUUGAGCCAAGGCAUUUGGCCACCCGUACCGUGAGUGUAAUUCUCUGCACCUCUAUCCUA
This 324-nucleotide long non-coding RNA is filed under the name Gallus gallus (chicken). RNAcentral describes it as "long non-coding RNA NONGGAT002933". Lineage: Eukaryota; Metazoa; Chordata; Aves; Galliformes; Phasianidae. The record is from RNAcentral.